GAUGAACGCUAGCGGGAGGCCUAACACAUGCAAGCCGAGCGGUAUUUGUUCUUCGGAACAGAGAGAGCGGCGCACGGGUGCGGAACACGUGUGCAACCUGCCUUUAUCUGGGGGAUAGCCUUUCGAAAGGAAGAUUAAUACCCCAUAAUAUAUUGAGUGGCAUCAUUUGAUAUUGAAAACUCCGGUGGAUAGAGAUGGGCACGCGCAAGAUUAGAUAGUUGGUGAGGUAACGGCUCACCAAGUCAAUGAUCUUGAGGGGGCCUGAGAGGGUGAUCCCCCACACUGGUACUGAGACACGGACCAGACUCCUACGGGAGGCAGCAGUGAGGAAUAGUGGACAAGGGGUUAGCGCCUGAUCCAGCCAUCCCGCGUGAAGGACGACGGCCCUAUGGGUUGUAAACUUCUUUUGUAUAGGGAUAAACCUACUCUCGUGAGAGUAGCUGAAGGUACUAUACGAAUAAGCACCGGCUAACUCCGUG
This 479-nucleotide ribosomal RNA is filed under the name uncultured bacterium. RNAcentral's name for it is "partial 16S ribosomal RNA". It matches the Rfam family "Bacterial small subunit ribosomal RNA", at positions 28 to 507 of the family's 1533-position model. The record is from RNAcentral.